AUGCACGCUGGCGGCGUGCCUCAUACAUGCAAGUCGAGCGAACAGACGAGGAGCUUGCUCCUCUGACGUUAGCGGCGGACGGGUGAGUAACACGUGGAUAACCUACCUAUAAGACUGGGAUAACUUCGGGAAACCGGAGCUAAUACCGGAUAAUAUAUUGAACCGCAUGGUUCAAUAGUGAAAGACGGUUUUGCUGUCACUUAUUGAUGGAUCCGCGCCGCAUUAGCUAGUUGGUAAGGUAACGGCUUACCAAGGCAACGAUGCGUAGCCGACCUGAGAGGGUGAUCGGCCACACUGGAACUGAGACACGGUCCAGACUCCUACGGGAGGCAGCAGUAGGGAAUCUUCCGCAAUGGGCGAAAGCCUGACGGAGCAACGCCGCGUGAGUGAUGAAGGUCUUCGGAUCGUAAAACUCUGUUAUUAGGGAAGAACAAAUGUGUAAGUAACUAUGCACGUCUUGACGGUACCUAAUCAGAAAGCCACGGCUAACUACGUG
Molecule: ribosomal RNA, 496 nt
Filed under: uncultured bacterium
Lineage: Bacteria
Description: partial 16S ribosomal RNA
Rfam family: Bacterial small subunit ribosomal RNA
Source: RNAcentral